Long non-coding RNA from Gasterosteus aculeatus aculeatus (three-spined stickleback), 504 nucleotides. Lineage: Eukaryota; Metazoa; Chordata; Actinopteri; Perciformes; Gasterosteidae. The record is from Ensembl.
GACUCAAUGCCCAAUACUGUGAACCCAAUCAAGAACCUUCUACUGUAUUAGAGGAAUACAGCGCUCGAUUGUUGAGGCUUAUAACACCAGUUCACUCGUAUUGUUUUAUUUCUCUCGUAUUUAUACCACCAUCAUUUAACUAUGAUUUUCCCUUUUACCCUUUAAUACAUAUCCCCACAGAUGUGUAAUCCGGUCAAACACUUUUCACUGUCGGAUUCUCAGUCCUUUUUCAAGUCCUGAUACGCACAGCUUCCAGGUUCGGUAAAACACCAGGAGUUACACCAACCACCCACACAUUUCCCAGUAUGAAAAACAACAAAUCUUUCCCUGUGUCCUUAUUUCUUCAUCUAAUAUUCUAACCUGCCAGUCCAAGAAUCACACGAGUAGGACUGCAGGACCAGAGGUAUCUACGUACCACACGGAUUGCAACUUGGAUUUCUACAGACUAAGAGUCGACCUCAGGGAACUCAAGUGAGCCCCGUCAUUCCUUUUUAAACUCUUCAU